Gorilla gorilla gorilla (western lowland gorilla) is the source of this 6622-nucleotide RNA transcript. It is a transcript of the gene named transmembrane protein 120B, with no coding region annotated. NCBI's taxonomy places the organism in Eukaryota, Metazoa, Chordata, Mammalia, Primates, Hominidae. The record is from RefSeq and is a predicted model, not a curated record. The transcript is spliced from 13 exons.
UCACUUGCGCGCGUGGCUCUGGCUGCGCAGGAACAGCUGGUGCUUCCGAGGGCGGUCGGCGAGAGCGCGGGCGUGGGGCGCUGGGGGGCCGGUCGGGCAGCGCUGCGGGAGCAGCCGCCGGCACCGCCGCCUUGCACCAUCGCAUCAUGUCCGGGCAGCUGGAGCGUUGCGAGCGCGAAUGGCAUGAGCUGGAGGGAGAAUUUCAAGAACUGCAGGAGACGCACAGGAUCUACAAGCAGAAGCUGGAGGAGCUGGCUGCGCUGCAGACGCUGUGUAGCAGUUCCAUCAGUAAGCAGAAGAAGCACCUCAAGGACUUGAAGCUUACACUCCAGAGGUGCAAACGCCAUGCCAGUCGGGAGGAGGCGGAGCUCGUUCAGCAGAUGGCAGCGAACAUCAAGGAGCGGCAGGACGUCUUCUUCGACAUGGAGGCCUACCUGCCCAAGAAGAACGGGCUCUACUUGAACCUGGUCCUCGGCAAUGUGAACGUGACCCUCCUCAGCAACCAGGCCAAGUUUGCCUACAAGGACGAAUAUGAGAAGUUUAAGCUCUACCUGACCAUCAUCCUGCUCCUGGGUGCCGUGGCAUGUCGAUUCGUCCUUCACUACAGGGUGACUGACGAAGUCUUCAACUUCCUGCUGGUGUGGUAUUACUGCACCCUGACCAUUCGGGAGAGCAUUCUCAUCAGCAACGGCUCAAGAAUUAAAGGCUGGUGGGUGUCUCACCACUACGUCUCCACAUUCCUGUCCGGAGUGAUGCUGACCUGGCCUAAUGGACCCAUUUAUCAGAAGUUUCGCAACCAGUUCUUAGCAUUUUCCAUUUUUCAGAGCUGCGUCCAGUUCCUGCAAUAUUAUUACCAGAGGGGCUGCCUCUACCGGCUGCGGGCCCUGGGGGAGAGGAACCACCUGGAUCUCACAGUGGAAGGGUUCCAGUCCUGGAUGUGGCGGGGCCUCACCUUUCUCCUGCCCUUCCUCUUCUGUGGCCAUUUCUGGCAGCUCUACAAUGCCGUCACGCUGUUUGAGCUCUCCAGCCACGAGGAAUGCAGAGAAUGGCAGGUGUUCGUGCUGGCGCUCACCUUCCUCAUCCUCUUCCUCGGCAACUUCCUGACCACGCUCAAAGUCGUGCAUGCCAAGCUCCAGAAGAACAGAGGCAAGACAAAGCAGCCGUGAGCCUCGGGCUCCUGUGCCCUCGGCCCGGACUUCAGACUGCAGGGGGCUCCCGGGCUCCUUCCCAGCAGCCAUCUCAGGCCCGUGGCAUCGCGGGGAGAGGGCCCAGGCCCUGGUCCCCCAGUGGACCCCAGUGGUCUAGAGGAAUGUGAGCCCCGCCUGUCCGCACAGUGUCCGCCCACAUAUUUAUGACAUAUUUAAUGCUGGGUCCCCCAUCGUCCCUGGAACCCGAGGCCUCACCCCUGUGCUUGAAGGUGGCUGAGGCCGGGCCAGUCUUCCUGGGGAUGGGGCCUGAAGCCUCAGGGAGCCCCUCUGUUCCCACUCCUGUCAUUUGAACCCCUCUGGGUGGGGUUUGGAUGUGCCUCGCGGGGUUGGAUUUAUGCUGACCUGCUACUUACCAGGCCCAGGCUGGGGUGGUGUGAACCCUCAGUGUCCUGUGGCGCCCCCACCCCGGGGCCACUCUGCUUCUGCUGUGAGCCCCCUCCUCGCCCACCCCGCCACGUGGUGAGGGUUAUUUAAGUUCUCACAGACCCACCGCGUCUGCCUCGUGCUCUUCUUGCCCCUGGGAGCGCUGGGGGCAUCCUGAGUCAGGCUGUGAGCAGAUUCGCCACCAGAGGGCGCCCUGGGCCCUGGGUCGUCCAAGGGGACAAGGAUGUUCCCGUCUGUGCUUCAGGGUUCCCUGACCCCCCCAUCCUGCAGCCCACCUUCCUGCAGUGUCGUGGCAGGUACUUGGAGAGUGGGACCAAGACCCUUGGCCCCUGUGGAGGGGAACCACCUCCCCCCUCCUUCCCAGAGCUUCUGGAUGUUGUGGGAGGGAGGUGGGGGUGCCUGGCAGGCUCACCCCCAGGGGCCGCACCCUGAGGCGGGGCCAGAGCCACUGGGCAUCGCUUGGGUCAGAUUCUGCAUUCGACGGGAGGCAGAGAGGCCACCAGGUUUGGCUGAGUGCUCUGCCCCACCAUUCAUAUAUGGGCCUCAGCUCCCCCUAACUGUGGCCCUACAAAUCCCUAGGCCAGACCUCACAGCAGUGCCCACAGGCAUGCCUUGUUUAGCCCUCCUCAAGGAAUUUUAAAAUUUUUAAUUACUUUUUUUUCUUUGAGACAGGGUCUGUUGCCUAGGCGGGAGUGCAGUGGCAUCAUAGGUCACUGCAGCCUCCGCCUCCAGGGCUCAAGGGAUCCUCCCACCUCAGCCUCUGGAGUAGCUGGGACCACAAUCACACACCACCAUGCCCUGCUCCUUUUUUUUUUUUUUUUUUUUUGAGAUGGAGUCUCGAUCUGUCACCCAGGCUGGAGUGCAGUGACACGAUCUCAGCUCACUGCAACCUCUGCCUCCCAGGUUCAAGUGAUUCUCCUGCCUCAGCCUCCCGAGUAACUGGGACUACAGGCGCGUGCCACCAUGCCUGGCUUUUUUUUUUUUUUUUUUUGUAUUUUUAGUAGAGACAGGGUUUCACCAUGUUUGCUAGGAUAGUCUCGAUCUCUUGACCUUGUGAUCUGCCUGCCUCGGCCUCCCAAAGUGCUGGGAUUACAGGCGUGAGCCACCAUGCCUGGUCACCCUGCUACUUUUUAAUACUUUUUAGUAGAGAUGGGGUCUCACUAUGUUGCCCAGGCUGGUCUCCAACUCAUGGGCUCAACUGAUCCUCCUAUCUUGGCCUCCCAAAGCGCUGGGAUUACAGGUGCGAGCCACUGUGCCUGGCCUGAUUACAUUUUUAAAAUGAGAUUUCCCCUCCCCUACAGUGAGAUUCCACAUAAAAAUCCAGAUUUCUGCUUUCCCUAGAAAAGCGGACCUGGCAACAUUCCCGUGGCACAGGACGCCUACUCUCCAGUUGCCACAGGCCCUGCCACCCCCCUGCCCUUCAUUCUGGUCUCCUUUCUGGUCCUUUUUAGGCACCUGCGCAUUUGCCCUAGAUUAGGAGUCAGCUAGCUGUCUGUAAAGGGCCAGAUGGCAACUAUUUUGAGCUUUAUGGGCCAGGUGGUUUGUGGCAGCUACUCUUCACCUGCAGCCACAGAGCACAAGGCAAUGCAGAAAGGAAUGGGUGUUGCUGUGUUCCAAUAAAACUUUAUUUACAAAUCAGGCUGUGGCCAGAUGUGGCCCACAGGCUGUAGGUGUCGGACCUCUACCGUAGACCAUCAUGAGACCUGGGGUUCUUCGAGAACAAGAACUCCUUGGUUGAUUCCCCAGGGUACGGCAGGGCCUUGGGAACCUGGGUGGGCUGUGGAGGGUCUCAGAAGGCUCCUUCCUUUGGCAACCUGACUUCUUGGAAGCUCAGGCUUAGCUGACGCCCCAGCACUGGGCCAGGGGGGCUGAGGCAGGAGAUAUGGGGAAGGCUAGGAGUCGCCUGAAGCCGUUAUCCCAUCUUAGGCGACACCGACUCCUAGGCGCCCUCCAGAGCCAAGCAGCUUGCGACUUCUGGUGGGCACCAGAAUCCCCUGGGAUGCUUGUUUUAAAAGUCCUGGGCCGGGCACGGUGGCUCACGCCUGUAAUCCCAGCACUUUGGGAGGCUAAGGUGGGUGGAUCACGAGGUCAGGAGUUCAAGACCAGCCUGGCCAACAUGGUGAAACCCUGUCUCUACUAAAAAUACAAAAAUUAGCCGGACGUGGUGGUGUGCGCAUGUAGUCCCAGCUACUCAGGAGGCUGAGGCAAGAGAAUCGCUUGAACCCAGGAGGUGGAGCUUGCAGUGAGCCAAGAUCAUGCCACUGCAAUCCAGCCUGAGUGACAGAAUGAGACUCUGUCCCCAAAAAAAAAAAAAAAAAAAAAAAAAAAUUCCCAGACCCUUGGCCCCAGACCUUCCCAAAGGAGGCUCAGGGAUUAGGUAUCUGGCUGUUGGUGACACAGGUGGUCUAUGAACCAGUUCUGAGAAACUGUCCCGCGUGGACAGGGGGUAGAUCCCAUCAGUUCUCAAAGGAGGCCGGGAUGUCUCGCCUCCUGAACUCCACAGGCUGGUAGAAGCGGGGCUUGAGGGACAGCAGGUUGGGAGCUUGAGGACUAAGUGGGCCAGUCCUGUCCUGCCACAGUGGGGGGAAGAGUCCACAGAAAACUUACUCAUGACCACGUGGGGAGCCGACUGUUCUUCCCAUCCCAAGUCUUUGACACUGGGGGCUUUGGGUGAGACCUUAAGGAGAUGGUCAGAUGGGUGGUCCAGGGUAUACUUUUAACAACUGAGAAGCCAUUUUUUCUGCCCCCUGGGCACAUAUGCCCAGCUCUGCAAAGACAGUGGCCAAGCUGAAGACAAGUCUUCCAUGUGGGGUGGAGAUGGGAGGGGUGGGUGCCAGGCUGCGGCCUGUGUCCUCCUGAUAGGCCCAGCCCCCUCAGUGGCCUCCGCGUUCCUGGGGGAAGGAAGGAAGGAGCUGGAGGAUACAGUGGUGCCUAUCUCGGGAGCCCAGGGAGGCGGGGACACAGGAGUGGCAGGCUUGGGGCGCCCGCGUGGAACAGUGCCAGGUCCACGUUUACCCACCACCAGAUAGACUUUUUCAUUUCAAGCAUAACUUGAGUCUGCACUGGGGAGACACUCGUGGGGGUGGCUGUGAUGAGGGCACUUCCGAGUCCCGACAACAGACACUGGCUCCUGCACCCACAUCACCACCAUGUCCCAGGGGCAGCCUGGAGGGGAGUUUGUGGUCAGAGCCCCAGCCAGGAAAGGAGAGAGUUCCAGAAUGUUCCAAGAGUCUAGCCGCAGGCCCCAGACACCAUGAGCUGGAGGGUCGGGAUGGGGCAGCCUCCCUGGUGCAGUCGGCACCUGGGCCCCCGGGCCCUGUCAGUGCUGUCGUGAGGUCUGUCUGCCCUGGGUCAGAGCAGCAGGCAGAGCCGGCGCUUCUUCUGCCGUUGCGCCUUCUUCAGAGCGCUGAGAGCCACCUUGGCAGCCUCCCGGAAGACGUCCUCUACAUUCUCCCGAAACUUGGCGGAACAUUCCAGGUAGAGAGCAGCUCGGAUCUGUUCGCAGGCGCUCAGGCCCUGGGUUGGGGGAGGAGCCAGCAUUAGGUGAGGGGCCCCUGGAGGUCUCCUGGCACCACCUGGUGGGUUUGGGACUGGCUCUGAGGACUCUCCAGGGAUGGAGGCCUUGGUUUGGGCCUGUCUGUCUCCUCCAUCCUGGCUGCCCCUCACAGUGUGUGGGUGGAAUGGAGGGCCAGGGCAGUGCAGCCCGCAGGUUGGAAGAAGCCCUGUCCAGGCCCCCACCCUGGCCUCUCUCCAGCUCCAGGCAGGGAGGGGCUGAAUCCUGAGACCCGGGGUUGGUUCCCCCAGGUGUGUCUCCCAGGCCUGUGAGAAGAGUUGGAGGCCUCAAGACAGAAAGGACUUCCAGCCACCUCUCUCCCUUCUCUGAAAGUACCAUUUAGGCAAAUUAAUUUGCCCUUUUAUUUAUUUAUUUUUGAGAUGGAGUUUUGCUCUUGUUACCCAGGCUGGAGUGCAAUGGCGCGAUCUUGGUUCAUCACAACCUCUGCCUCCCAGGUUCAAGCGAUUCUCCUGCCUCAGCCUCCCGAGUAGCUGGGAUUACAGACAUGCGCCACCAUGCCCGGCUAAUGUUGUAUUUUUAGUAGAGACGGGGUUUCUCUCAUGUUGGUCAGGCUGGUCUCAAACUCCCAACCUCAGGUGAUUCGCCCGCCUCGGCCUCCCAAAGUGCUGGGAUUACAGGCUUGAGCCACUAUGCCCGGCCGAAUUUGCCCUUAUUAAUGGUUAUUUCUUGUGAAAGUUUCUUUUUGCCUUUGCAUUCCUUUUAUUCUGUUUAUUCCCCCAUGCCUCACCCAGAGUUGCACGGUCAAUUGGCCCGUGAAGGGGACGCCUACUUUCAAACAAGGCAGACAGGACACGACAGGACGGCGGCUCAUAGCACAGACUUUGGAUUGCAGUGGAUGGGACCAGAUCCUGGCUCCACUUCUGGCUAGCUGUGUGGCCCUGGGCAAGCUGCUUAACCUCUCUGGGCCUCAGUUUCUCCCUCUGUAAACUGGGGGAUGUGAACAGCGCCUGCCUCCGAGUCCUAAGGAUUGGGAGUAGUCGUGUAAAGUGCUCAGGUCCACAGGCCAUCAAUACUAAUAGUUAAAAAUUAUUCUUAGAAUCUUGCUUCCCUCAGCUCCCUGAAAGGCCACUAAGGCACCCCAGUUGCAGAGGCCAAAGGUCCGGGAGGCUUCACAGCCACGGCUGUGCCCCAGGGUCUUGGCCCCUGGCCCACCUGCAUGUAGGUGAUGGGCUCCAGCUGGGCGGCCCGGAGCUUCCGCAGCUGCUCCUUGUCCUUCCUCAGGUCUGUCUUGCAGCCGAUGAGCACCAUGGGGAUCCCGCGGCAGAAAUGCGUGACCUCAGGGAACCACUGUGGAGGGAGGAGGCAGGGGAUCAGGGGUGGGGCCGGGCCCAGAUGUGGGGCCACCACCCAGGAGGCCGGCCUCACCUUGAUGAGGACGUUGUCGUAGCUGGUGGGAUUCAUGACGUCAUAGCAGAUGAGCACGAGUUUCAAACUUACAGUAAAAUUGCAACACGAG